UCAUUAUCCACAGCUGCAGAGGAAGAGGACACUUGGCCCUGAAAAUAGUCAUCGACAUCCACUCGACAGGCAAAAACAGCCCCAGCUCAUCUUUAGUUCCUUUUGUCUCGGCUCAUCUCCCAGUAGUAAAGCUAGUGCCGUGUGCUCUGUGACUGUUUCUUUGUUUUAAACUUUUCCGACAAAACUUCGUGAAGCACCAAGUCAUUUUCAACGCAUUGCUGGACUCCUGAAAGAACCUGUGGAUUGGAAAAUAACCGGAUCUGACAGACCCUGAGCGCUACUAUCUGGGAUCAGACAAUGAUCGGGACGUUGUACUUCCUCCUGGUACUUCUACAAGCUGUAGUGUCAGAAGAGUGGAGAGGUGACACUCCACGAGAUGUGACAGCGCAGAAGGGUUUGUGCGCCCGGAUCCCCUGCCACUACAGUUACCCCUCACAUCUGGCCGAUGAACCGCGAGCUGGAGUCUGGUUUAA
Long non-coding RNA from Pristis pectinata (smalltooth sawfish), 473 nucleotides. RefSeq lists it as uncharacterized. Lineage: Eukaryota; Metazoa; Chordata; Chondrichthyes; Rhinopristiformes; Pristidae. The transcript is spliced from 4 exons. The record is from RefSeq and is a predicted model, not a curated record.